UGCCUUUUGGGUUGAAUCUUCAAUCCAUCGCUCUUUUGCCGAAUCAAUAAUAUUGGCUUCAACUUAUAAGGCUCUGGUUAGGAAAUUUGUGAGAGAAGCUAAGUUGUUGAGAGUCGAAAGUGUGAAUAACUGAGAUUACGUUCACCAUUAUGUUUUUUUUUUUGAAAUAGAUCAUGAUAUUUGGUAAAGAGAAGAACAACACAGAGAAAGAGAAGUGGAAUGAUGGAAGAGAGAGAAGAGAAGUUUUAGUGGUAGAGAGAGAAGAGAAAAAGAGUCGUAUGUGAGUGAAAGUUUGAAUGGCUAACUUAGGUUUUUGGAGUGAAGUAUAGGGUUAGAACCGUCUAAAAAAAAGAGAGCAAAAUAAUCAUUUAUGAAUGUUAGAUUCUUAAUAAAAGAGUUAACUGAAUACAUGAAGUGCAAUUUCCCUUUUUAAAACACAAAACAUUAUGUAAUAUAUAUAGGUAAUUCACUAUACAUAUAAAUUAUACAUUUUAAAAAUAUAUA
RNAcentral lists this long non-coding RNA (504 nucleotides) under Capsella grandiflora. RNAcentral describes it as "long non-coding RNA (CGRA_LNC001419)". Lineage: Eukaryota; Viridiplantae; Streptophyta; Magnoliopsida; Brassicales; Brassicaceae. The record is from RNAcentral.